AAAUUACCGAAGAGCUGACAUCAAGCAGAAAAGAAGCAGAGAAAAGGAGUCUCAAUGAGUCACAAAUACAUAGACAAAGACUGCACUGUGCACGAUAUAAAGGGACUCCCUGCCCUACCUGCUUACAAUAUUGUUAAAACUUGGUGAUGCCAAGGAGAUUACGACUUUGAGCCUGAGAACUCCGUCUCAAUCAAUCAACCUGAAAUCGGUUCUUGUCGAGAAAUUGGCUUCCUCUCUGCUCCUGUGUAUUAUCCGCCUUUCCGAUGAAUUGCUACAAAAACCUGUUGCUCUGGUUUCUCCAGAAUUCAGAGAGAUGCUUCUGGGAGGUGCUCCGAGAGCUGCAAGCUCAGCUUCCACAUCAGGGCUGUCGCCCCUGUGCCUAGCAGGCACUCAGCGUGUCCCGUUAAUGAAGAAACAAAUGAAAAGAUCAGUCUGUCGGCACUCAGGAGAGGCGGUCAGGAGCUGGAAGAGUCCACAG
This 478-nucleotide long non-coding RNA is filed under the name Cervus hanglu yarkandensis (Yarkand deer). RNAcentral describes it as "lncRNA (ENSCHYG00000006664.1)". Lineage: Eukaryota; Metazoa; Chordata; Mammalia; Artiodactyla; Cervidae. The record is from RNAcentral.